This 349-nucleotide unclassified non-coding RNA is filed under the name uncultured Sordariomycetes. RNAcentral describes it as "sequence contains ITS1". The record is from RNAcentral. Lineage: Eukaryota; Fungi; Ascomycota; Sordariomycetes.
GAAAUGCUUAAGUUCAGCGGGUCUUCCUACCUGAUCCGAGGUCAACCUUUGGGGUGUUUCUCGCGCGGGGGCGAGGUUUUACGGCCGGUGCCCGCGGCACUCCCUGGGCGAGGUGUUGCUACUACGCUCGGGGUGACAGCGAGCCCGCCACUUCCUUUCGGGGCCUACGGCAGCCGUAGGACCCCAACACCAAGCAGGGCUUGAGGGUUGAAAUGACGCUCGAACAGGCAUGCCCGGCAGAGUACUGCCGGGCGCAAUGUGCGUUCAAAGAUUCGAUGAUUCACUGAAUUCUGCAAUUCACAUUACUUAUCGCAUUUCGCUGCGUUCUCAUCGAUGCUCGUCUGACCAG